UACGGGGGGGGCAAGCGUUGUUCGGAAUCACUGGGCGUAAAGGGUGCGUAGGCGGGUCUUUAAGUCAGGGGUGAAAUCCUGGAGCUCAACUCCAGAACUGCCUUUGAUACUGAGGAUCUUGAGUCCGGGAGAGGUGAGUGGAACUGCGAGUGUAGAGGUGAAAUUCGUAGAUAUUCGCAAGAACACCAGUGGCGAAGGCGGCUCACUGGCCCGGUACUGACGCUGAGGCACGAAAGCGUGGGGAGCAAACAGG
This 253-nucleotide ribosomal RNA is filed under the name uncultured bacterium. RNAcentral describes it as "partial 16S ribosomal RNA". It matches the Rfam family "Bacterial small subunit ribosomal RNA", at positions 524 to 776 of the family's 1533-position model. The record is from RNAcentral.